RNAcentral lists this ribosomal RNA (439 nucleotides) under uncultured bacterium. RNAcentral describes it as "partial 16S ribosomal RNA". It matches the Rfam family "Bacterial small subunit ribosomal RNA", at positions 339 to 795 of the family's 1533-position model. The record is from RNAcentral.
CUACGGGUGGCAGCAGUGGGGAAUAUUGCACAAUGGAGGAAACUCUGAUGCAGCAACGCCGCGUGGAGGAUGACACUUUUCGGAGCGUAAACUCCUUUUAUAUAGGAAGAAGAUGACGGUACUAUAUGAAUAAGCGCCGGCUAACUCCGUGCCAGCAGCCGCGGUAAUACGGAGGGCGCAAGCGUUACUCGGAAUCACUGGGCGUAAAGAGCGUGUAGGCGGAUUAAAAAGUCAGAAGUGAAAUCCUAUAGCUUAACUAUAGAACUGCUUCUGAAACUCUUAAUCUAGAAUAUGGGAGAGGUAGAUGGAAUUUCUGGUGUAGGGGUAAUAUCCGUAGAGAUCAGAAGGAAUACCGAUUGCGAAGGCGAUCUACUAGAACAUUAUUGACGCUGAGACGCGGAAGCGUGGGGAGCAAACAGGAUUAGAUACCCGUGUAGUC